GAACAUCUGGGCGCCCGCCUCUCUGCUUGCUGAAGAGAGGAGGCGAUGAGCUCGCCAGUGACCGCAGGGACCCGCAGAAAGCUGACCGACGGGAGCGGGAAGAGACCAGCCGAGUCCUCGCAUCAGCCUUCCCCUGAGGCAGGUGCACCGUUGGGAAGGUGUUUGUUCAGCAGAACUGUGUGGGAAGCGAUGCUAGCUAAGCCUUUCCGAAGACAGAAACUCAUCAGAACCACUGAAAGCACAGCAAGAAGUCACUUUGUGGAUUGAUUUGGCACGAGAAGCCAAGUAUUGACAAAUACCUUAACAACGUCGAAAGUAGCCUACUUUAAGAGGAAAUAUGCAGAAGAAGAAGAUUUACAUCAAGAUUACCCAGGGUAUUUUCCAAAACACCUGAUAUUACCUGAAGACCGGGCUUGUAUUUUGAAACUGUCUCUGCAGAAGCUUCAGUUUCUUGAAGAUCCUGAACUCUAUCUCCGCCGCUCAGUCCUGAUAAAUAACUUGUUGCGGAAGAUUCAUCUGGAAACUGAGCGUGAACGCUAUGAGUAUCUUAAGGAAAGUUCAUGCUGUCGGACUGCCUAUUCGGAUACAAGAAAACGGCUGAAGUUUAUGGUACAAGAAUGUCGUUCUCAGUCCCUUUAUUACAAAGAACUGCAUUCAUAUCAUAUUGUGCCUUAUUCUUCGGAGAAUGCCAUUUAUGGAGUGGGCUAUUCAAGUGGCCACUUGGAGCAAAAUUCUCAAUUGCUUAUUUAUAAAAUGAAAUGAGGGUUGUUGUUGUUUUUAAAAGACAUGGCUUAACUUGUUUCUGGAUGCCUGGAUGGCAUAUUACUUUGCUAAAGUGAUGCAUUAAUGUGCAAAUAUGGGCGAGAUCAAAGGGUCAAGUCAGCUAUAUUGCAGAAUGCUCCGGUGGUAGCACUUAACACUCAAGGCUGCUUGGUUGCACAGCAAUGGUGUCCAUAUGGAAACAGUGCAACCUGGAAUUUCUAAUAAGCUGUGAGCCCUGGGGUGAAGUGCUUAUUGGCUGUCCAGUUUUCUAUAUGUAUAUAUUCAGACUAACUUUAACUGCUAAGUUAUACCACCUCUCCUUAGAAAUGUAGACUGAUAAUAAGAGGAUAAUGUGCUGGCUGGUCUAAAGUGAAGGUUAAAGAGGGUGGAUAGCUGCUUCUCAGAAAUGUCUAAAAAGACUCAUAGUCAUUAAAAAUAUUGAUUCAUUCGUACCACCCCUCUUUUUGAAAUAUUCAACAGCAUUAAUUAUCUAGGUUUAAUCAUUUAUUUGCUAGCAUGCUUGGUUUCUGUUUCAGUCAGCGAUUUUAUUAAAAUUCAGGGAUUUUUUUGGGCAAGUAAAAAUCAAUAAUUCGGAUGAGCAGGGGAGCUACAUUCAUUUACUCUCUUAAAUUUGGUCCGGAUCCUCUCUCUGGAUCUCUGUUAUACUGAUUUGGCUCUAGGAAUGUAGAAUGCCUAUCAUAAAGGUGGGCACAGCAUUUUUUUUUAAAACUAGCACUCCAGUGUAAUUAUAAGAAAGAAUUCUGAUUUAGCACUCAUAGCCAGGAGCAAAAUAUUAAUAGAACCAGUGGGACAUACACACACACACACACACACACACACAAGUCUGUAAGUUUAUGCUCAGUUGAGGCAUGUUUUUUUUUGUAUCAGAUUAUAGUCUUUUGGAUUUCAUUCAGUGGUGGGAUUCAAAUAUGUGAACAACAGGUUCUCUGUGUGGAUGCCACUUCCGGAAGUCCGUUCUGGGCCUGGGCAACAAAAAAAUUAGCUACCAGUUCUGCUGAAGUGAUGUGAACUGGCUGAAUCCCACCACUGAUUUCGUUCCUUGGGAGAUGAAUCAUCACAUGUGGUCCCUCUUCCUAUCUUUUCUUCAUCCAGCAGUCUAAUUUCAUUGGUAGAAAAUAUUCUGGUGGUGCUUUAGUUAAACCACUGGUUGUUCAGAAAUGUUUGCAAUCCACUAGCAGAUCUAUUGAAAGAUCUCCAUCUAAAGUCUGCUUGUUCCUGGCCUAAUACAAUCAGUAUCAUUUUUUUUUACUAUUGUUAUGUGUCUGUGGGAUAUGAUUUGGGGAGCUCAGAUGCUGAACUUAUCAGAUUGCCAUAAGAGACAAAUCUGUUCAUGUUGUCCCAAUUGACAUAAGAAUGUCACAGGGAUUUGUGAAAUGUCUUUGAUUAGUUUUGAAGGUGCUCUCUAAGGAAGAGAGAUGGUGGCUUGGUGAAGAUCACUGGAAAAGUUGCAGGUGCCAAAAUUCUCUUCAAAAAAUGCCAAAGAGAAAUAUUAGGUAGGUGUGUGCAAAAAAGAACCUGCUUCCAAAGCUAAGAUGCUGUCUGUGAAAAAAUCCUGAUAGCUCUUUUAUUAAUGGUAAUUUCCCCACAAGAAUUCUUAGGAACUACAUCCAGGGUGAUAUUUUUUUUAAUGAAUCCCAUUCCAUGGCUAAAUCACAAUUUUCAGAGUUUCAUGGGAAGAGUGUGUAACUGUGAAGCCUAUUACAACUUGAGUGAGCUUUGCUCUUAGACAUUCAGUUGUGUAUUACAGUUCUGUGACAUUAUUAAUAGAUUAAUAUCCUUUUGGAGAAGCCCAGCCUAGAAAGAGAAGUACCAUGGAGUACUUUUUCCUUUCAUAUUCCUUUAAAAUAUCAUCUAAAAUGGCAGACUUUUACCUAUCAGAUCUUAAAAAUGGGACACUGAUAGAUGGAAAACAAUUCUAGAUAACAGCUUUAAUUUGCCUUAUUAUCACUUGAUAGCCCUUUUCAUCUUAGCCUUUUGCCAAUAUACUAGUCCUUCUUAACAAACAGCAUCCCUCUUCUUUCAUGGCAGGAACUUCCAAUUUGUUCACAUAAUCACUUUGCGCCCUUAGUUAAUGUGGACACAUGCAAUCUGGUUUUAUUCCUGUAGCCACUACCCUGAGUAUAAGCUGUUGAAACCAAGGAGUUUUACUUCCACCUAAAAAUGCACAAAGUUACUCUAGUGUUAUUGUAAUUAAAAAGUUUAAUGCAUGUGAAUUGCUGGCAAAUGUUGGAGCAUUUCACGUAAACCUUCUUCGCAUAAAUUUGGCAAAAUUUCAAAUGUUACAUUUCAAGUUUCUCCAAAUUUCCAAUGUUACAUUCCAAAUAGCUUGUUUGUUUUGUUUUGCUUGGUAACAUGUUGUAAAAACAAAACAAAACACCCCAGUAUUUAUUAUUAUUUAUUUAGGCUAAACCUUAUGCUCUAAGCAAAGCAGAUCGAAACUAUCUGGCCAUAAUUGAAAAUCCAAAGAAUGUGAUCUGUUAAAGUAGCUAUAAGAUCAUAGUCCUUAAGAAUCUUUAGUUAAACUAUGCCCCCUCUCUAGCAUAAUAUUUUAUUUUAUAUAUAAAGUUUUAAAAACAAUUAUAAGAAGUAAUACAGCUAAAUUAGUAAAAAGAAAAUGAAAAGAGGAUAGAAAUACCAGAAAAAUUAAAAGUGCAAUAAGAAAAGAAAAUAGAAGAAGGUAGAAAAAAAAAAGAAAGAUAUAAAAAUAUAUAAAAAUAUAAAGAUAUUCUGAUAUUCCUCACAGCAGUUAUAAGUUCAAUUUUAUUUUAAUCUCUCUCUCUAAAGUUAAAUCAUAACUCUCUUCUUCCUAUAUCUUGUGUAAUCAUCAAAAUCAUAAAUCACAAGUUCAUUUUUUUUCCAUUUAAGCCUAUUAGGGCAUUCCAAUUACCAAUAAAUGUACCUAUCAUCCUUUCUCUAAUUAAAGGUCACUUGCCAUCUCAGACAAUUCUAUCCAUUUCACCAACCAUUCCCCCAUGGUAGCUAGCACUGAAUCUUUCCAUCUUUGUAUAUAGAGUAAUAUCACCACAAUAAUCAUAUAUUGAAAUAAUCAUUCAUAGUUUUUUUCCAACCAUCAUUCCUAAAAGGAAAAGUUCUGACUUCAAUUGAAUAUUGAUCUAGCAUCCUCUUUAUCAAUGUAUGUAUUUCAAUCCAAUUUUUAAAGCUUUUUGAAAUGUCUCUUCAUGUUGUUCACAUUUCUAACAUAGUGUAUAUUUGAGAUGCCUUUAUACAUUGUAGAUAAUUUCUCUCGUGUUAUAUACCAACAGUAUCUAGUAUUUUAGAUGCCUCACUUAAAAAAAAAGAGAGAAAAAGACAAAAAAAAAGUUCCUGUCCUUGCUCAUUUGCAUCAGAUAGCUCCAUUCCUUUGCAUCAUAAUUUCACCUCUCAUAGACCUGGCCUUUUCCAAAACUUUUAAGUACAGCCCAUGGUCAAACAAAGGGAUGCUUAUCCUCCUUUAGAUGGCGAUAUGCAGUGCUUUUUUUCUAAAAAAAAAAAAAAAGGUGCCGGAACUCACACACGUCAUACAACCCACCUUGCUUACCCUACAAGGUUCCAUCCAAAAAAGGUGCCGGAACUCAGUUCUGGGUGUUCUAUGAGAAAAAAAGCCCUGGCGAUAUGUAUUCUGUCAUUUAUUUCCAAAUGGAUUUAAAAAUAGCCCUUCCCAACUGAGACCUAAUUCCUCUGAACCAAGAUCUGACGUCAUCCCCAAAAUACUCUCUAGUUGGUAAGUGUUUUAAACUCGGUAUGAUAAUAACUUGAAAGAUGUACAAAGCCAUUUAUCAUGACUGCUUUAUACUGAAACAUAUAAAUGGUAUUUUUUAAAUGAAGUACUGUCUGCUCUGACCAGUAGUAGUGUUCUAGUACAGUAUUUCCUACAAGUGUCAUCCAAGACCCUUUGAACUGGGCAUCCCAUCAGUUAAAACUGGGAACUUCUUGCAUGCCAAAUACAUUCCCUACCCCAGUAAUAUGCCCCCCCCCCGUUCAAUCUAUUUUAAUUCCUUUGAAGCCUUUUUACUCUUUUUUGCUUAAUUACAAUUAACAAGCUUUAAAUUCCUUAUGCUUUGCAUACUGAGCUUUGUGCACAGGUAUGAGUUCAUACAACCAGAUACAAUUAGAAUUAUAUUUCAGUAUUCCAUCUCAACUGGUGAGAUCAGAAACUGAAAUCUUUUUAAAGAAGAAGUGGCAUCAAAUAUUUAAUACUCAAUAGAACAUUGCAUGCGUUUGCUAGCAUUUUUUUAAAAAAAAUCUGUAAAUAUAUCAUCUUGGACACCAACUUUUUGCCUGUCAACCUUCAGAGAUUGGAGUAUUACAAGGACUUAGCUUAGUCAGAGUCAGUAGUCAAUCUCAGCUUGGCUUCAAUUAAAUCAACCUCAGUGCUCUUUUUUGUAAUCACUGAAUGUAUCCAUUAGCACUUUAAUCUGUCCAAGAAAAAUGAAAUUAAAAAAAUAGCAGGGUACAAGUUAUUGUAGCUGACCUUAGUUGUGUAAAAAGUGUACUGAUUUACCAACCAUUUUUAAGUCAAGUCAAAGCCUUCACCACUAUAGCUAUAGAAGCAUUUGGAUUAUUCAAGCUAAUGUUAAGUUUUUGCCCAUUUGGAAAUGUGAAUUGUAUCAACAUUUCGGCUUUAGUUUGUAUUAUUUCUAAACUAGUGAGAUGAAUUUUGUAUGCCUCAUUUUCAGGUUGAAAGACUGAGUAAACUGUGUAACAACUUUUAGAAAUACAGCCCUACUUCAUUCAGUGGAAACUUUGGAUGAGAUAUUGCUUCUAGAGUACAUGUACAGUAUUCUGCACUUUUCUUUUUGUAUUUUUGUGGUUGAUGAAUGUGUGGUUGAGUAUAUGAAAUAUUGUGCCUUAAAGUUCCCUUAUUAUGUGAGCCUUCAUUUCUUGUGAAAAUUAUACAACAUGUAUUAUAGCUAAGGGUGGUUGGAUGGUCUAAAAGAUCUGUUUCUGGUAUUUGGGUCUCUCACAAAAAGCCAUUGUUUGUACCCAUUCUGAUGGAACUUGAAACUUUAAAUGAUAGAGAACUGAACAUAAAAUCCACAUCUGCACUCCAAGGUUUAUGCAGUUUCCCUGUUCUUAUCAUCAGUUUGCAGAUUUAGUUUUACCUAUGAUUGAACUGUAUGCACAGUGACAAUUAUGUAAGAAGAUUUUAGGUCAAGGAAUACAGAAAUUGCUUCAUUCAGUAUGUCCUUUGUACAUAUACACAUAUGUUAAAGGCAAUAUGCCCAUGCAUGGAUGCAAUUAAGCCAUUGGUUCCUGGAAUAUCAUAAUUUGGAAAACAGAAGAGUCAGAAGACUUUUAAAAAACAUAUUCUAUUUAUAUUUUUAUAAAUUGGAUUUUACUUCUACAGCUCAAUGCUAUAGAACUUGGAUCAAACAAUGUCAAAGAUUGUCAUCAUAAGAUUUGUGCAGACAGAACUAUGGGUUGAUUAAGCUGAUUUUUAAAAUGAUUUUUUACUGCUUUUUAAUAACAAAAGGUGCGUUAACAAAAAAGGGAAAGAAAUAUGACAAAGUAAAAAAAAGCAUGAUAAAUCAUUUUCACAGUAAACAUAAACUUCUAUAUAUACUUAUCUAGUGCGAAUAUUAUUCAAUACAUAUCUAUUUCUAUUGCACUUAUAUAAUUAUUUUUAAUCUACUGUAUUUUGUUUAAAUGAGUCCCAUAUUUCAUUAUACUUGUCCAUACAAAGGCUAAUCUAUAGGCAAUUAGUUCAUAUGUGGCAAGUGUAAUCAGAUCUUCAAUCCAUUGAGAAAUGGUCCAUAUCUUCCUAAACCUGCAAUAUCAGUCUUUUGGCGAUAGUAAGAUUACAGAGAAUCCAUGUAUAUUGUCAGUUGUCAAAUUAUAUGUACUGGGUAUAUAGUGCAAGAAAAUAUUGUCCUCUGAAAAUUUUAGCUUUUGUCACACAAUUAUAUUUAUAUAGUCCACUUUCUCCAAAAAUGUAAUAAGCAUAGUAACUUGGGUUUUAAAAAAAGAUUGAUUAAGUUGAUUAAUCACAAUCAUGAAGUUUUUCUCACCCAUAGAAUGUAUCUGAUUUCUUUUUAUUUUAAUACAUGUAUAUAUCUGCUCCAAUCUAUAAUGACUCUGAGUGAAAACAUUCUAAAAUAAGUUAAAAAUUCCAAAGUCCAAAGGAAGAACAACUGUUAAAAAAAAACCCAUAAAGGACUCAUCACUCAUUCAUAGAGAGAAGCCAAAUUCGGGGGGGGGGGUGUAUUUUAAACAUGGCUUUGUGGAGAGACAGUCUGUUGUCUCUGCAUUAGUAGUUUCUAAGUAGGAAGGUAUGUGAUGGAUUGUGUCACUGGAAAAAUUGCUUGAAGACAGGACCUAAUUCCAUCCAUACAAUUGUUUUGUCCUCAUUGUUUAUUGCCUUAGGCACAGAUAGCUUAAUUGUAUGGAAAGACCUAUAAGCAAAUCCUGCAGCUCUCAUUUUAAUGCAGGCAUUGGGACCGCAGGAGGGAACACUGUGACAUAGUAUUUCAAGUAGAAUACUCCAAAUUAAACUCCAGGACUUUUCUGCCCACAAUAUAUCUUUCCCCAAAUUUAUUAGCACAGGGGCAAAAUGCAACUGGUUUUACAUGCACACGCACGCACGUGCACACACACACACACUAAGGCAAAUGAGCUUUCAAUCUCAUCACUAAAUUCUGAAUUCCUGUCCAAGGUUUGUUCUAAGAUUCAGCAACAGACAGCAAUUGGACAGCAAUCAUGAGCAUACAGUAUAGGUGAAGAUUCUUGGCGAGAUUAAAAAAAAAUCAGUCCCAUGGACAGCACUUAGUAUUUUACCUGUUUGGUCUACUUGAAUGCUUUCCGUUUAUUUUAAUGAAGGGCUUUAUGUUGCAAAGACAUUAUGAUGCACUUUGGGAUGAUAUGCCUGAUCUGAAUUAGAUAAUUUGCAUUGGCUCACAACCUCUUCUGGCAGUUGCAUAGCCAGAGGCUUCUGUGUAUGCCCUGCACAUAUGCCACACAUCCUGUUCUAAUAAUAACAAUCAUUAUAAGCAUGGAUGUGAUGAUUUAUUACUGACAUUUCAAAAAUGUAAGAUUUUUGUCAAAUUCAGGAUUCCUGGGCAUGUCAAAAUAUCAAAAUUAUAAUAUUAUACAUUAUUGAACUAUUUUCUUUUCUAAGAGCAAUGGAAGCUCAACUUUUUUUUUUUUUUAAAAAAAAAGGUAAAUAAGGGCAAGGAGCUUGAAAAAGCCAAAACUUAUAUUUCCCUCCCAUUUUCUGUGGUUCUAAUAUAAGUCAGCAGAGAGACAUGAUUUCUUGAUUUCCUACUCUCUCUCAUUCACUAACAACUCAGACAGAACUUUUAGCUCGGCUAUAUUAAAAAGGCAGCAAAUCUGACAUCAGAUAUUCCAGGAAUUACAGAACUUGAUUUCAGAUGUGGAGGUGGGGGAUUUUAUGGUUCUAGGUUGGAAUGACUUGCUUUGUGUUGUAUAAUAAGCAGAAUAUUUUGGACCUGCUUGAGACCUAUCUGAAAGGUUUUUAUGAUUUUUUAAAAUAAUUACUAUUAAAAUAUGUAUCACUCUCAUAAACACAUACACACAUGUAUAUGCAUGGUAUUACUAAUAAAAUGCCAUUUCUAUUGAAA
Molecule: long non-coding RNA, 8360 nt
Organism: Crotalus tigris (Tiger rattlesnake)
Lineage: Eukaryota; Metazoa; Chordata; Lepidosauria; Squamata; Viperidae
Exons: 4
Source: RefSeq, a predicted model, not a curated record